Long non-coding RNA from Dermacentor silvarum, 356 nucleotides. RefSeq lists it as uncharacterized. The record is from RefSeq and is a predicted model, not a curated record. The transcript has 3 exons. Lineage: Eukaryota; Metazoa; Arthropoda; Arachnida; Ixodida; Ixodidae.
CAGAUGACAUUCAGCACCGGUCCGUCGUCCAGCAGCUGAUCGCGUCUUCUCUUCUGUUCCUGCCUUACGGCUAUGUGUGUCCUGGUGAAUGAAGAUGCCUGCAAUCCCUGCCCUGCAGAACAUCCACUGCGAUUCCGCAUCCUUUGGUGCCAGACGCACGCGGCGGAUUUUCCGGCACCCGGCCGUGUCUCGCACAGACGACGUUCAGCACCUGUCGUCCAGCAGCUGAUUAUGUCACUUCUGCUCCUGCCUCACUGCUAUUGGUGUCCUGCUGAAUGAAGAUGCCUGCAAUCUCCGUGCUCCAGUACGUCAACUGCACUCUGCAACCCUAGUCUUGACAUCUGCCGCCCAUCAAG